AGAGGAAGAGAGAGAGAUUAGUGU
Molecule: small nuclear RNA, 24 nt
Filed under: Arabidopsis thaliana (thale cress)
Lineage: Eukaryota; Viridiplantae; Streptophyta; Magnoliopsida; Brassicales; Brassicaceae
Description: snRNA_17615
Source: RNAcentral